RNAcentral lists this ribosomal RNA (460 nucleotides) under uncultured bacterium. RNAcentral's name for it is "partial 16S ribosomal RNA". It matches the Rfam family "Bacterial small subunit ribosomal RNA", at positions 338 to 795 of the family's 1533-position model. The record is from RNAcentral.
CCUACGGGAGGCUGCAGUGAGGAAUAUUGGUCAAUGGGCGCGAGCCUGAACCAGCCAAGCCGCGUGAAGGAUGACUGCCCUACGGGUUGUACACUUCUUUUUUAAAGGAAUAAAGUGAGGCACGUGUGCCUUUCUGAAUGUACUUUAUGAAUAAGGAUCGGCUAACUCCGUGCCAGCAGCCGCGGUAAUACGGAGGAUCCGAGCGUUAUCCGGAUUUAUUGGGUUUAAAGGGCCCGUAGUUGGGUUGUUAAGUCAGGUGUUAAAGUUUGCGGCUCAACCGUAAAAUUGCAGUUGAUACUGGCAGCCUUGAGUACAGUUGAGGUAGGCGGAAUUCGUGGUGUAGCGGUGAAAUGCUUAGAUAUCACGAAGAACUCCGAUUGCGAAGGCAGCCUACUAGACUGCCACUGACAUUGAUGCUCGAAAGUGUGGGUAUCAAACAGGAUUAGAUACCCUGGUAGUC